CGCGCUCUCAUCUCUUCCUCUCCGGGAAAAGCUCCCCGCGGCCUCUCAAGUCCUCAAAUGGACCACAAGGCUCUGGUGCCCGAGGGGAGGAGGAAGGCGACGGUGUCCCCGAGAGCCGGUCGCCGACGCGCGCUCUCACCAGCUCGGCUCGCAGCCCGGGCAGGGCGCUCUAGACGCUCGGGUCUCUGCUCCUCCUGCGCCUCCGCUUCCGCCUCCGCCGGGGGGCGCCGGGAGCCUCCUCGCGGCACAGCCAGCUGGAAGACGCCCGCCAGCCGCCGCCUGAGGUCUUCCGGCAGCCGGCAUGGGGGCGACGGGGGCCUCCUCCUGGCCGUCCGUGCGCUUACUGCCCCCGGGGGAGCCGCGCGUCGGGCAAGGGCCUCGGGGCCAAAGCACAACACUGACUGGGACUCCGUGGGGUCCCCGGGAAGUCGCUUCUCUGCGGCUGCCGGAGUCCCCGGGGCCCAUUCCAGAGGCGGCGGGGCCCAUUCCAGCGGCAGUCGGAGGAGGUGGUUCCCCGUAACUCCGCGAAGAGGUUGCAACUGGAUCACUUCUUGCUCCUUGGAGUGUCUAAGAGGAAGACUUGUAUCUCUCCAGAUCAUUUACUUCAACAAGAACUUCAGACAUUUUUAUUCCUCCACGCCUUUGCACAUGUGCUGUUCCUGUGUGUGGAAUGCCCUUCUCACCUUACCCAGCUAUUAUGAUGAGUCUUCAAAUUCCCUGAGCAGGAAUACAACCUCCCUCUUGUGA
RNAcentral lists this long non-coding RNA (747 nucleotides) under Felis catus (domestic cat). RNAcentral describes it as "lncRNA (ENSFCAG00000040450.2)". The record is from RNAcentral. Lineage: Eukaryota; Metazoa; Chordata; Mammalia; Carnivora; Felidae.